UGAAUUUAAGCAUAUCACUAAGCGGAGGAAAAGAAACUAACAAGGAUUCCCCUAGUAGCGGCGAGCGAAGAGGGAAGAGCCCAGCACCGAACCUCGCGCCCUCGGGUGUCGCGGAAUGUGGUGUUCAGGAGGACCGUGCGCGUCUGUCCGGUAUCGUCCAAGUCUCCAUGAAUGGGGCCAGCAACCCAGAGAGGGUGUCAGGCCCGUGGGACGAGCCGCGACCGUGUAUUGGGUCUCUCCUUAGAGUCGGGUUGCUUGAGAGUGCAGCCCUAAGCGGGAGGUAAACUCCUUCUAAGGCUAAAUACGGCCACGAGACCGAUAGCAAACAAGUACCGCGAGGGAAAGUUGAAAAGAACUUUGAAGAGAGAGUUCAAGAGUGCGUGAAACCGUUCAGGGGGUUAAACGGGUGGGCCCUCGAAGGUCGAACGGUCCCCACUCCCGUCACCUGUAGUGCCGGCCCGUGCUGCUUUUCGAUUCCGCUACGGAACGAGGCUUGGUGCGGUUCGCCGGUCUACGGGGGCCGCUAGCUGGGGACCCAGUAGGACUCCGCAACCGGCUGGGAGGCCGUCAGAAGGGUUCUGUGAGGAAGCCCCCUCGUUGGGGUGGAUUCCGGGAUUCCGGGCGGUCCUCUCGGCCGUGAACCAAAAUUUCUCUCCUCACGGGGAGAAUGAGCGGAGAGUAGAGUCGGGUCCCACCCGACCCGUCUUGAAACACGGACCAAGGAGUCUAACAUGUGCGCGAGUCGUCGGGUACUACUAAACCCGAAGGCGUAAUGAAAGUGAAGGCCGCCCUUGUUGGCGGCCGAGGGGAGAUCCCGUUCUGCUCCGGUAGCUCGGGCGCAUCCCCGGGGCGUCGAAGCCGCGUUGCCGGCUAGACGAACCAAGAGCGUACACGUUGGGACCCGAAAGAUGGUGACCUAUGCCUGGCCAGGACGAAGCCAGGGGAAACCCUGGUGGAGGUCCGCAGCGAUUCUGACGUGCAAAUCGAUCGUCUGAGUUGGGUAUAGGGGCGAAAGACUAAUCGAACCAUCUAGUAGCUGGUUCCCCCCGAAGUUCCCUCAGAAG
This 1064-nucleotide ribosomal RNA is filed under the name Limnadia lenticularis. RNAcentral's name for it is "eukaryotic LSU rRNA". It matches the Rfam family "Eukaryotic large subunit ribosomal RNA", at positions 29 to 980 of the family's 3401-position model. Lineage: Eukaryota; Metazoa; Arthropoda; Branchiopoda; Diplostraca; Limnadiidae. The record is from RNAcentral.